AACGAACGCUGGCGGCAUGCCUAACACAUGCAAGUCGAACGAGACCUUCGGGUCUAGUGGCGCACGGGUGCGUAACGCGUGGGAACCUGCCCUUAGGUUCGGAAUAACUCCCCGAAAGGGGUGCUAAUACCGGAUAAUGUCUUCGGACCAAAGAUUUAUCGCCUUUGGAUGGGCCUGCGUUGGAUUAGCUAGUUGGUAGGGUAAAAGCCUACCAAGGCGACGAUCCAUAGCUGGUCUGAGAGGAUGAUCAGCCACACUGGGACUGAGACACGGCCCAGACUCCUACGGGAGGCAGCAGUAGGGAAUAUUGGACAAUGGGCGAAAGCCUGAUCCAGCAAUGCCGCGUGAGUGAUGAAGGCCUUAGGGUUGUAAAGCUCUUUUACCCGGGAUGAUAAUGACAGUACCGGGAGAAUAAGCUCCGGCUAACUCCGUG
RNAcentral lists this ribosomal RNA (433 nucleotides) under uncultured bacterium. RNAcentral describes it as "partial 16S ribosomal RNA". It matches the Rfam family "Bacterial small subunit ribosomal RNA", at positions 29 to 507 of the family's 1533-position model. The record is from RNAcentral.